RNAcentral lists this ribosomal RNA (632 nucleotides) under uncultured Porphyromonadaceae bacterium. RNAcentral describes it as "bacterial SSU rRNA". It matches the Rfam family "Bacterial small subunit ribosomal RNA", at positions 86 to 715 of the family's 1533-position model. The record is from RNAcentral. Lineage: Bacteria; Pseudomonadati; Bacteroidota; Bacteroidia; Bacteroidales; Porphyromonadaceae.
UGGUGGCGACCGGCGCACGGGUGAGUAACGCGUAUGCAACCCUUCUAUCAGAGGGGGAUAACCCGGCGAAAGUCGGACUAAUACCGCAUAAAACAGGGGCACCGCAUGGUGAUAUUUGUUAAAAAUUUAUUGCUGAUAGAUGGGCAUGCGUUCCAUUAGGUAGUUGGAGAGGUAACGGCUCACCAAGCCUACGAUGGAUAGGGGAACUGAGAGGUUGGUCCCCCACACUGGUACUGAGACACGGACCAGACUCCUACGGGAGGCAGCAGUGAGGAAUAUUGGUCAAUGGGCGAGAGCCUGAACCAGCCAAGUCGCGUGAAGGAAGAAGGAUCUAUGGUUCGUAAACUUCUUUUGCAGGGGAAUAAAGUGCAGGACGUGUCCUGUUUUGUAUGUACCCUGAGAAUAAGGAUCGGCUAACUCCGUGCCAGCAGCCGCGGUAAUACGGAGGAUCCGAGCGUUAUCCGGAUUUAUUGGGUUUAAAGGGUGCGGAGGUGGUUUGAUAAGUCAGCGGUGAAAGUUUGCAGCUUAACUGUAAAAAUGCCGUUGAAACUGUCGGACUUGAGUGUAAAUGAGGUAGGCGGAAUGCGUGGUGUAGCGGUGAAAUGCAUAGAUAUCACGAAGAACUCCGAUUG